RNAcentral lists this ribosomal RNA (388 nucleotides) under uncultured bacterium. Its description in RNAcentral is "bacterial SSU rRNA". It matches the Rfam family "Bacterial small subunit ribosomal RNA", at positions 28 to 416 of the family's 1533-position model. The record is from RNAcentral.
AUUGAACGCUGGCGGCAUGCUUUACACAUGCAAGCCGAGCGGCAGCGCGGGGGCAACCCUGGCGGCGAGCGGCGAACGGGUGAGUAAUGCAUCGGAACGUACCCUGGAGUGGGGGAUAACGCCGCGAAAGCGGCGCUAAUACCGCAUAUGCUCUGAGGAGGAAAGUGGGGGACCUGCAAGGGCCUCACGCUCUGGGAGCGGCCGAUGUCCGAUUAGCUAGUUGGUGGGGUAAAGGCUUACCAAGGCGACGAUCGGUAGCUGGUCUGAGAGGAUGAUCAGCCACACUGGGACUGAGACACGGCCCAGACUCCUACGGGAGGCAGCAGUGGGGAAUUUUGGACAAUGGGGGCAACCCUGAUCCAGCCAUGCCGCGUGAGUGAAGAAGGCC